UUCGGCUCUGCCAAAAAAGCCAUAACAGUGAGAAGGCACAUAGUACUUGGUGUGUCACUAAAAGGGAGCUACUUAACACAAUAAAAAGAAAGGAGCAUCGGAAACCAGAGCGAUUUAUUUUUUAAGGACUGAGACGUGUCAAACAACAUACAACUGAAACCACUGGAGGUGCAGCCAUACCGCUGUCAGUCAUCAGUCAGGAGCUGCAGGGAGAGCACUGAGGCAAGGAACAUCACAAGUAUUACAGGCGCAAUGAUUUUAAGCAUUUCCCAGGAGAGCGCAAUGGAUAAAUUGGAAAUAGGAAGGAAAGCCCAAAGUAAUUAGCAAGGAGCAAAGAAAAGGAGCAAGGAGGCCACAAGAAUACGCUCGUAGGCAUGAAAAUCGCUGAGAUGAAAAGGCUGCUAUUUCUGUGAUUACACAUAUUUCUAAACUGAACACAAUAAGCUUACACUGACACAGAUUUUCACCAGUUGUGGCUUGUCUGUAUUGUUGGUGAGUAAAAUGCACACACAACCCCUCUUUCAGCAUGCAAACUGUUGCAUUUGGACAGCAGUGAAGGAGCUGCACCGUUUUGUCAGAGGGGUUAAUGCAAAGACGUACUUCAGGUUUCCUUCCCAAAUAAUCCCAGCGAUUAGCAAAACCCAGCUAACCCUCACUUUGUUAAAAGAGGAAAUAACAGGACGUAUCACUGCUAGCUUUGAGCUCUGGCUUUUUACAGCAGACACUCCCUCCCCAUCCCCGGAGGCAUUCAAGGCCAGGCUGGAUGUGGCUCUGGGCAGCCUGGUAUAGUGGUUGGCAACCCUACACGUAGCAAGGGGGUUGAAACUACAUGAUCAUUGUGGUCCUUCUCAACCCAGGCCAUUCUAUGAUUCUCUGAUACGAUUCUAUGACCAUGACCAGCCAUAUUUUGGUCUUUGUCACGGUGAGGUCCAGCAGAUAAACGCUGCGCACAGAGCGAAGGCUGUUACCAAGCCUGUGAGCAAAUUCCAACCCGGCGACCUAAAUUCCUCCUGCGUUUUCAGCUGGAGACUGGAUCCUCCACUUCCUGCUCUGAAAUUCUUGAAUGAUGUUGUUCAAAUGAGACUUUGACCUUGCAGUACAGAGGAUAAAAAAGUCAGAUAAAACCAAGCACGGCUCCAGGUACUCGGAGAGCAAGUUCCCCGCGUCUGCCGACCUUCUGACCUGUCACAAGGCGUCAUUCCUUACGUUUAAAGGUUUUGUCUCCCUAAAGGCCGCGUAAAGCACCGUGCUUCUAACGGCCUGGCUCUCUGACGGAGCCGUACGUGCGUAGCUCUGCCUUCUCACAGCGCUCGCGCCCCCCUCUCUAGGUGCCGGCCCUGCGGCCUACCGAGGAAGGGAACUGAGAGAGAGCGAGCGGCCGCGUGACGUCAUCAUCCGGGUCUCGCGCGGUCCGCCCGCCGGUCACAAUGGAGACCGCUCGAGCCCAACGGACGUG
Molecule: long non-coding RNA, 1456 nt
Organism: Gallus gallus (chicken)
Lineage: Eukaryota; Metazoa; Chordata; Aves; Galliformes; Phasianidae
Source: Ensembl